This 290-nucleotide long non-coding RNA is filed under the name Gallus gallus (chicken). RNAcentral's name for it is "long non-coding RNA NONGGAT005780". The record is from RNAcentral. Lineage: Eukaryota; Metazoa; Chordata; Aves; Galliformes; Phasianidae.
CUCCAGACACACUGAGAGGCCAUCUCCAUUGCAGCGGCUUUAGGAGAACCCUUUGCAACGGGGCUGUACGGACAUGGAUGUGUAAGGACAGCAAGCUUGGCUUAGGAACUAUCUCCAGUGCUGCUCCUAGCGCAGGGUGAGCUGUGCCUGCAGGUGGGUUUGUUCACAACUGGAGUGUGAGCUCCUUGGCAGUGGGUGGCUGUGCAGAGCAGCCGCACUGCGCUGCAUGUCCCGCUCUGGUCCCCAUGCAGGCAGAGGCACAGCCCUGCAGAGCGCUGGGCAGAGACCGG